RNAcentral lists this ribosomal RNA (253 nucleotides) under uncultured bacterium. RNAcentral describes it as "partial 16S ribosomal RNA". It matches the Rfam family "Bacterial small subunit ribosomal RNA", at positions 524 to 776 of the family's 1533-position model. The record is from RNAcentral.
UACGUAGGGGGCAAGCGUUGUCCGGAUUUAUUGGGCGUAAAGAGCGUGUAGGCGGCCUGAAAGGUCAGCUGUGAAAACUCGAGGCUCAACCCUGGAAAGCCGGUGGAAACUGUCGAGCUCGAGUCCGGAAGAGGCGAGUGGAAUUCCUGGUGUAGCGGUGAAAUGCGCAGAUAUCAGGAGGAACACCGGUGGCGAAGGCGGGUCUCUGGGCCGAUACUGACGCUGAGGAGCGAAAGCGUGGGGAGCGAACAGG